This 261-nucleotide long non-coding RNA is filed under the name Lathyrus oleraceus (garden pea). RNAcentral's name for it is "Pisum sativum (pea) long non-coding RNA (PSAT_LNC002806)". The record is from RNAcentral. Lineage: Eukaryota; Viridiplantae; Streptophyta; Magnoliopsida; Fabales; Fabaceae.
GAACAUACGCUCACUCUAUUGAGGACUUCUACUCAUGCUGGGAAUUCCUACUCACUGUGCUGGAGAUUUCCAUUUAUGUUGGGGGAAGACCAACUUCCUCAUGAAUAGAUCACAUAUCAACUUUUAUCAAUCUAUAAGGGAUUUUAGGUCAAUCCACUCAAGGGAUGACAACCAUAUAAUUGAUAAAACACAAAUGCUAGACUCAGACUCCCUGGGGAAUUGAAGAUAUUAGAGGUAUACACAUCUCUAAGAAGAUCAAGG